This 253-nucleotide ribosomal RNA is filed under the name uncultured bacterium. RNAcentral's name for it is "partial 16S ribosomal RNA". It matches the Rfam family "Bacterial small subunit ribosomal RNA", at positions 524 to 776 of the family's 1533-position model. The record is from RNAcentral.
UACGGGGGGGGCAAGCGUUGUUCGGAAUUACUGGGCGUAAAGGGCUCGUAGGUGGCCAACUAAGUCAGACGUGAAAUCCCUCAGCUUAACUGGGGAACUGCGUCUGAUACUGGAUGGCUUGAGUUUGGGAGAGGGAUGCGGAAUUCCAGGUGUAGCGGUGAAAUGCGUAGAUAUCGGAAGGAACACCAGUGGCGAAAGCGGCUUCCUGGUCCAGCACCGACGUUCAGGCACGAAAGCGUGGGGAGCAAACGGG